This 1521-nucleotide ribosomal RNA is filed under the name metagenome. RNAcentral's name for it is "bacterial SSU rRNA". It matches the Rfam family "Bacterial small subunit ribosomal RNA". The record is from RNAcentral.
GAGUUUGAUCAUGGCUCAGAUUGAACGCUGGCGGCAGGCCUAACACAUGCAAGUCGAACGGUAACAGGAAACAGCUUGCUGUUUCGCUGACGAGUGGCGGACGGGUGAGUAAUGUCUGGGAAACUGCCUGAUGGAGGGGGAUAACUACUGGAAACGGUAGCUAAUACCGCAUAACGUCGCAAGACCAAAGAGGGGGACCUUCGGGCCUCUUGCCAUCAGAUGUGCCCAGAUGGGAUUAGCUAGUAGGUGGGGUAACGGCUCACCUAGGCGACGAUCCCUAGCUGGUCUGAGAGGAUGACCAGCCACACUGGAACUGAGACACGGUCCAGACUCCUACGGGAGGCAGCAGUGGGGAAUAUUGCACAAUGGGCGCAAGCCUGAUGCAGCCAUGCCGCGUGUAUGAAGAAGGCCUUCGGGUUGUAAAGUACUUUCAGCGGGGAGGAAGGGAGUAAAGUUAAUACCUUUGCUCAUUGACGUUACCCGCAGAAGAAGCACCGGCUAACUCCGUGCCAGCAGCCGCGGUAAUACGGAGGGUGCAAGCGUUAAUCGGAAUUACUGGGCGUAAAGCGCACGCAGGCGGUUUGUUAAGUCAGAUGUGAAAUCCCCGGGCUCAACCUGGGAACUGCAUCUGAUACUGGCAAGCUUGAGUCUCGUAGAGGGGGGUAGAAUUCCAGGUGUAGCGGUGAAAUGCGUAGAGAUCUGGAGGAAUACCGGUGGCGAAGGCGGCCCCCUGGACGAAGACUGACGCUCAGGUGCGAAAGCGUGGGGAGCUAACAGGAUUAGAUACCCUGGUAGUCCACGCCGUAAACGAUGUCGACUUGGAGGUUGUGCCCUUGAGGCGUGGCUUCCGGAGCUAACGCGUUAAGUCGACCGCCUGGGGAGUACGGCCGCAAGGUUAAAACUCAAAUGAAUUGACGGGGGCCCGCACAAGCGGUGGAGCAUGUGGUUUAAUUCGAUGCAACGCGAAGAACCUUACCUGGUCUUGACAUCCACGGAAGUUUUCAGAGAUGAGAAUGUGCCUUCGGGAACCGUGAGACAGGUGCUGCAUGGCUGUCGUCAGCUCGUGUUGUGAAAUGUUGGGUUAAGUCCCGCAACGAGCGCAACCCUUAUCCUUUGUUGCCAGCGGUCCGGCCGGGAACUCAAAGGAGACUGCCAGUGAUAAACUGGAGGAAGGUGGGGAUGACGUCAAGUCAUCAUGGCCCUUACGACCAGGGCUACACACGUGCUACAAUGGCGCAUACAAAGAGAAGCGACCUCGCGAGAGCAAGCGGACCUCAUAAAGUGCGUCGUAGUCCGGAUUGGAGUCUGCAACUCGACUCCACGAAGUCGGAAUCGCUAGUAAUCGUGGAUCAGAAUGCCACGGUGAAUACGUUCCCGGGCCUUGUACACACCGCCCGUCACACCAUGGGAGUGGGUUGCAAAAGAAGUAGGUAGCUUAACCUUCGGGAGGGCGCUUACCACUUUGUGAUUCAUGACUGGGGUGAAGUCGUAACAAGGUAACCGUAGGGGAACCUGCGGUUG